UGGGGAAUAUUGGACAAUGGGCGCAAGCCUGAUCCAGCAAUGCCGCGUGAGUGAUGAAGGCCUUAGGGUUGUAAAGCUCUUUUCGCACGCGACGAUGAUGACGGUAGCGUGAGAAGAAGCCCCGGCUAACUUCGUGCCAGCAGCCGCGGUAAUACGAAGGGGGCUAGCGUUGUUCGGAAUUACUGGGCGUAAAGGGCGCGUAGGCGGCCUGUUUAGUCAGAAGUGAAAGCCCCGGGCUCAACCUGGGAAUAGCUUUUGAUACUGGCAGGCUUGAGUUCCGGAGAGGAUGGUGGAAUUCCCAGUGUAGAGGUAAAUUCGUAGAUAUUGGAAGAACACCGGUGGCGAAGGCGGCCAUCUGGACGGACACUGACGCUGAGGCGCGAAAGCGUGGGGAGCAAACAGGAUUAGAUACCCUGGUAGUCCACGCCGUAGACGAUGAAUGCUAGACGUCGGGGUGCAUCAGCUUCGGUGUCGCCGCUAACGCA
RNAcentral lists this ribosomal RNA (485 nucleotides) under uncultured bacterium. RNAcentral's name for it is "partial 16S ribosomal RNA". It matches the Rfam family "Bacterial small subunit ribosomal RNA", at positions 355 to 859 of the family's 1533-position model. The record is from RNAcentral.